GACGAACCGUCCUAACGUUGUUCGGAAUCACUGGGCUUAAAGGGCGCGUAGGCGGCUUGCCAAGUCCGGGGUGAAAUCCUGCAGCUUAACUGUAGAAGGGCCUUGGAUACUGGCGAGCUCGAGGGAGGUAGGGGUAUGUGGAACUUCCGGUGGAGCGGUGAAAUGCGUUGAUAUCGGAAGGAACGCCGGUGGCGAAAGCGACGUACUGGACCUCUUCUGACGCUGAGGCGCGAAAGCUAGGGGAGCAAACGGG
This 253-nucleotide ribosomal RNA is filed under the name uncultured bacterium. Its description in RNAcentral is "partial 16S ribosomal RNA". It matches the Rfam family "Bacterial small subunit ribosomal RNA", at positions 524 to 776 of the family's 1533-position model. The record is from RNAcentral.